Molecule: ribosomal RNA, 255 nt
Filed under: uncultured bacterium
Lineage: Bacteria
Description: partial 16S ribosomal RNA
Rfam family: Bacterial small subunit ribosomal RNA
Source: RNAcentral
UACGUAGGGUGCAAGCGUUGUCCGGAAUUAUUGGGCGUAAAGAGCUCGUAGGCGGUCUGUCGCGUCGGCUGUGAAAACCCGGAGCUCAACUCCGGGCCUGCAGUCGAUACGGGCAGACUGGAGUUCGGCAGGGGAGACUGGAAUUCCUGGUGUAGCGGUGAAAUGCGCAGAUAUCAGGAGGAACACCGGUGGCGAAGGCGGGUCUCCUGGGCCGAUGACUGACGCUGAGGAGCGAAAGCGUGGGGAGCGAACAGG